This 4873-nucleotide long non-coding RNA is filed under the name Sus scrofa (pig). Its description in RNAcentral is "lncRNA (ENSSSCG00000062522.1)". The record is from RNAcentral. Lineage: Eukaryota; Metazoa; Chordata; Mammalia; Artiodactyla; Suidae.
GCCUUUUCUAGGGCCGCUCCCGCGGCAUAUGGAGAUUCCUAGGCUGCUUGGGGUCUCAUCAGAGCCGUAGCCACUGGCCUACGCCAGAGCCACAGCCACGCGGGAUCCAAGCUGUGUCUGCAACCUACACCACAGUUCACGGCAACGCUGGAUCCUCAACCCACUGAACAAGGCCAGGGAUUGAACCCGCAACCUCAUGGUUCCUAGUCAGAUUCGUUAACCACUGUGCCACGAUGGGACCUCCCAAAAUGGGUUUCGAUGUCCUUUCCUUGUGCCAGUUAAUGUAAAUGCAUGUACGGAAAAUUGUAUCAUGUGUAUGCAUCACUUCUAGUAAGAAUAUUGGGGCAAAAGUAAUUGAAUCUCAUAUCUGUCACAUAUCAAAACCUACCAGGUGUCCGUAGGCUUCACCAGCCACAGUCUGUCUAUUCUAAUGAGGUUUCUUCUGAAACUGGUUCCCUGAGGAGAGAAGGGCUGCUCUCGGCUGAGCCAGAGCUCCCAGAGGGAACACUCAAAAUGGAAAACCUCACAUCAGCGGUCCAAAUACCAACCCAGUCUCCCGCGAAGAAUAAUAUUUUGGCUUAACAGGUUCAACCCCAGAAGUAAUCUCAAGACGCUGCAUGUGUUUCUUGGGUUUUACAAUGAAACGAAGGCCACGGUUAGAACGUGGGUUUGAAUGUGGAGGAGGAGAAACUACCAUUAAUUUUGCCUGCCAAAAAAUCAAUAACGAAUGUUUUAACCUUUCUCUCUCUUUCUUUCUCACUCACUCUUUGGCUUAAGAAAUAAACUCUGUGUAUAUUCUUUCCUAUGAUUUAUGGGCUGGUUGGAAAACUUAGAAAAGUAAGUCAAUAACCCCUUUAGACAACUAUCUGAUCCAGGAGGCAAUCAGAACUCAGGCUUCCAUCAAGGACUUCCCUUUGUCAUUUUCAAAUCCUAUUGUCUUAUAUUACCUAUAACUGUAAGGAAACUGGUCAGUAUUGGAAUGUCACUUCUCAGAAUUCAAGGUACUUACAGUAUUCUGAGGUGAUAUCAGUUUCUCCAACAGAAUAUAUUUGAUGAUGUGUAUAAAUAAGAGCUCACCGCACCUCAGGCUGUUAUUUCCCAUAGAAAUGAACAAUGACCUGAGUACAGGGAAGUAAAGAACGGACUCAGAGUGUAUGUCCCAUUCACAGAAUCAGGUCAGUCAUACAGAUUCUGACCUGUAAUCUCAGAAUGUGGGUCAAAGAACAGCAGUAUCAUACGCCUCUUAUUUUCACUUUGGCCCUCUAAGUUUUUUGAGGCUGUUUCUUAAAGUACUAUCCUCAUUAAGACAUUGAUUUCCUCCCACUAAGAUGCUUACAAGUGGUAAUAAAAUUCUUUCCAUCCCACCUAAAAAGAUCAACCAAGUUUUUAUAGCAUCAGGAAGGCUGCUGUCCAGGUAACUGUUUGGACACCAACAGCCUAUCAAUGGUAAUGACAAGCAAAGUCAAAUGGAGCUGGCUGAGGAGAUCAGAACUUCUCUCUGAUUGAGGAUGCCAGCAUAUUUUUGCUCUAGAAUCUCAAUUAGACAAAAUGAUUUCUUGCAUCUUAAUCAAUUUCUGAUCCAGGAUAAGGCCAUAGAGAUGUCCCCUCACCUCUACUUCAGACCAAGUUUUUGUUAAACUAAAAACCUCCCCCAACUCCUUACACAUGUCCAGGGAGCUCAUAAGCUUGGAUUCUUGUUUGAGCUUCAGUUCUCCUAAACUCUGGGUCAUUUUUUCUCUUCUGGGAAAGGAGAGAGGUGCCUCACCUUUACUUCUGACCUAGUUGCACAGAGGUGUCAAGAAAUUUUAGAAUAUAGCACAUAAGAGUUCCCAUCUUGGCUCGGUGGUAAUGAACCUGACUUGUAUCUAUGAGCGCUUGGGUUUGAUCCCUGGCCUCACUCAGUGGGUUAAGGACCUGGUGUUGCUAUGAGCUGCAGUGUAGGUCCCAGACAUGGAUCAGAUCUGGCAUUGCUGUGGCUGUGGCAGAGGCUGGCAGCUGUAGCUCUGAUUUGACCUGUAGCCUGGGAACUUUCAUACACUGUGGGUGCAGCCCUAAAAAGACAAAAAAUAUCUCUAGAAGGGUACACAUGAACUGGAUAACAAGUGGCUUCUUCUGGAAAGAACUUGGUCCUUCAGGAUAACUGGGUGGGAAGAAGACUUUACACUCUUUCCCCUUUUGUGAUAUUCAAGUCGUUUUACAAUGUGUUUUCUUAUUCAAAGAUACAUGUGUUCAACUCUUCAGAGGGAAAAAUAAUAGAGAAAAAAUGCACAGUAUAAAACAGUGCAUAUGUUAUGCUUCCAUUUGGAUAAACAACAACAAAAAAAAGGUGUAUACAUUAGGACGAUUUCUAGAAGGAUACACAAAAAUUUGCUAUUAGUUAACUUUAAGGAGUAGGACUGCUGUUCUGGAGUGGGUGGAAAAUACUUCUUAUCCUUUAAAGCGUUAAUCAAAAAAAUUUCAAUACAACAUAAAACGGGGGUAGAUGAGGAAACAGGGAAAGAUAUGAAAUCUAAUCUAGUCAUUUCUAAAGGAUCAUGUGCCCAUGAAUUGAGGUGUUGUUAUUUAAAUAACAAAAGUUUCCCUCCCAAACACACAUACACUGGAAAAGCCAGACACAAACAUCCCUGGCUUGACUGAGGAUGACUUUAUAUCUUAUCAGUAAGAUGCGCCAUCCAAGCAGCAGGUCUAGUUUAUCACAUGUUUAAGCCGUAUCUCAUACUCGUGUUAUUAACAACAUGUCAAAUACAAUCUGCUGUAUUGUCAAGACUACGUCAAAGAAACAUAAUUCUGGUUUCCAAUACUUAUACUUGCAAUUUAUGCAACAUCUUUCCUCUUAAGACAUCUCUGAAGUUUGAUUAAAACAGAAGCAUAUUUACACGUCUGAAUUCAGAGAGUUACUGGGAGAAAUAAGCCCAUCCCCACCCCUCUGCUCUCUUCAUGGGAAGUGGGGAGUGACAGUGGGGCGGGGGUUACUCUGCUCUGCUAUCCUGUCCCUGUUUUCUUCACAACAGAACCACCUAGGUCUCCAUGGGCGUGUCACACAUGACAGGAGAAUGAAUGAGGAAAUUCCAAUCUGUGUGUGAGUGUGAGUGUGUGUCAGGGGCUAUUCUUGUCCUGAUUACUUCGUGUCUGUGAAAAAUAACAAUAACGAAGGGAUCUAGGUAGGUAGGAACAACCGGCAAUAGGUAAUCAGUUCAGGGUUUGCCAUGCAGAUGUACAUUCUACCCAAUACACUCAAAGCAUAUUAAAUCACUCUCCUGGGGGUAGAGCCUCGUUCUAUGUUUAGAACAAGCUCCCCAGGCAACCCUUAGGUAUACAGCUGAGGAUCAGGGAUCUAGGAAACACAGGCAAUAAUAACAUGACUGCUGACAUUGAUGGAAUGCUUUCUCUUCUCCAGUUUCGGUCGCCACCCUCCUUCCUACAAAACACCUUCAUCUCUCACGUUGCCCGAGCGUCUCGUCUGGUGUCCCUAAAUCUGCCCUUAUUCCCCACCCCCCAACCCCAGAGCAGCAUAGUCUUUGAAAGGUAAAUCCUUCCAUGAGAUCCCACUCCCCCACGUCUAAUGGCUUCUCAUCCUGUUCAGAAUUAAAUCCAAAGAUUUUCCCAUGACUUACAAGAUCCUGUGUGAAAUGGCCUGAUUUCCUGUUUCUUUUUUUUUUUAAUUGAAGUAUAGCUGAUAUACAGUAUAUAAGUUUCAUGUGUACAAUACAGUGAUUUAUGAUUUUGAAAGAUUAUACUCCCUUACUGUUACUAUCAAAUACUGGCUAUACUUCCUGUAGUGCACAUCUUUUUUGCUUAUUUUAUACCUAAUUGAUUGUACUUCUUAAUUUCCUGCCCCUAUAUCUCCCCUUCCCCCUUCCAUCUCACCACUUGUAACAAUUAAUUUAUUCUCUAUAUCUGGGAGUCUGCUUCUGUUUUGCUGUAAUCACUAGUUUGCACUAUCUUUUAGAGUCCUCGUAUAAGUGAUAUCAUACAGUAUUUGUCUUUCUCUACCUCUCUAACUUUCUUAACCAUCACCCUCUGCCUUCUUCACUCUACCCCAGCGACUCUGGUUUUGUUUCUGUCCCUUCAUGUGUUAAGGACACUUUUAGCUCAAAUUUUUUGCACUUACUCUUCCCUCAGCUUGAAGAGUUUUCCCUGAGUUAAACACAAGGUUCAUUCUUUGACUUAACUGAGCACUCACUCAAAUAUUCAGUCUUCAGAGAGGCUGUCUGCGGCAAGCAGCCUCUAAGGUAAUGUCCAAAGACUUCUACCCCCUGAUAUUCCUUAACCUUGUAUAAUCCCCACCCCCCCAGAUAAUUUGCUUGUAAUCAAUAGAAUAUGGUAAUGUUCAGGGACUAUCAUCUCCAUGAUUAGGUUAAAAACGCUGUUCCUUCCAUCUUGCUAGCAGACUCUCUCUUUGGCUGGCUUUGAUGAAACAAGCUGGCAUUUUGGAGAGGCCCAAGUAGCAAGGAACUGAGGGCAGCCUCCAGUCAACAGUCAGCAAAAACCUGAGGCUCUCAGUCCAAGAGCUGAUGAGCAACUAAAUCCUGUCAACAACUACAUAACUGAGCCUGGAAGUGGAUCUUUCCACUGGUGGAGACUUCAGAUGAAACCCUAGCCCCUGCAGAAAACUUGUUUGCAAACGUGUGAGAUCCUGAAGCUAAAUCAUGCUGAUUCUUGAGAUACAGAAACUUUGAAAUAACUAAUCUUCCUGCUGUGGCACAUUGGGUUAAGGAUCUGGAAUUGUCUCUGCAGUGGUUCAGGUGGCUGCUGAGGUUCAGGUUUGAUCCCUAGCCUGGGAGCUUCCAUAUGCCAUGGAUGCAGCCAAAAUAAAAAUAAAUAAAUUUAAAAAAAUUUUAAAGUUAAAUAAAAUAGAAACUCCAAAACUCCC